CCUACGGGUGGCAGCAGUGAGGAAUAUUGGUCAAUGGACGAGAGUCUGAACCAGCCAAGUAGCGUGAAGGCUGACUGCCCUAUGGGUUGUAAACUUCUUUUAUAUGGGAAUAAAAUGUUCCACGUGUGGGAUUUUGUAUGUACCAUAUGAAUAAGGAUCGGCUAACUCCGUGCCAGCAGCCGCGGUAAUACGGAGGAUCCGAGCGUUAUCCGGCUUUAUUGGGUUUAAAGGGAGCGUAGGUGGAUUGUUAAGUCAGUUGUGAAAGUUUGCGGCUCAACCGUAAAAUUGCAGUUGAAACUGGCAGUCUUGAGUACAGUAGAGGUGGGCGGAAUUCGUGGUGUAGCGGUGAAAUGCUUAGAUAUCACGAAGAACUCCGAUUGCGAAGGCAGUUCACUGGACUGCAACUGACACUGAGGCUCGAAAGUGUGGGUAUCAAACAGGAUUAGAUACCCCUGUAGUC
This 460-nucleotide ribosomal RNA is filed under the name uncultured bacterium. Its description in RNAcentral is "partial 16S ribosomal RNA". It matches the Rfam family "Bacterial small subunit ribosomal RNA", at positions 338 to 795 of the family's 1533-position model. The record is from RNAcentral.